CCAGCAUCGUGAUCUACGGCUUCACAGCGCAUGCGCAUUUGCGCUUCUACGAAAAAUCGGGUGUUCCGGGGGAAAGAUCCUUUGCACAACAUGAGAAGCGAAUGUUCUAAAAUUACAAAAAUUUACAAUAACGACAACGAUUCCUCGAAAUUUUUGUGAACUUGGCAAAAGGAAAAAAGAAUAUUUAAAGAAAGUAAAUAAAAUUGCUUAAAUAACCUUCAAAGCAC
Molecule: non-coding RNA, 227 nt
Organism: Paramuricea clavata
Lineage: Eukaryota; Metazoa; Cnidaria; Anthozoa; Malacalcyonacea; Plexauridae
Source: the annotation of a GenBank genome assembly